GUGGGGAAUUUUGGACAAUGGGGGCAACCCUGAUCCAGCAAUGCCGCGUGCAGGAAGAAGGCCUUCGGGUUGUAAACUGCUUUUGUACGGAACGAAAAGGCUCUGGUUAAUACCUGGGGCUCAUGACGGUACCGUAAGAAUAAGCACCGGCUAACUACGUGCCAGCAGCCGCGGUAAUACGUAGGGUGCAAGCGUUAAUCGGAAUUACUGGGCGUAAAGCGUGCGCAGGCGGUUUUGUAAGACAGACGUGAAAUCCCCGGGCUCAACCUGGGAAUGGCGUUUGUGACUGCAAAGCUGGAGUGCGGCAGAGGGGGAUGGAAUUCCGCGUGUAGCAGUGAAAUGCGUAGAUAUGCGGAGGAACACCGAUGGCGAAGGCAAUCCCCUGGGCCUGCACUGACGCUCAUGCACGAAAGCGUGGGGAGCAAACAGGAUUAGAAACCCUUGUAGUCC
RNAcentral lists this ribosomal RNA (450 nucleotides) under uncultured bacterium. RNAcentral describes it as "partial 16S ribosomal RNA". It matches the Rfam family "Bacterial small subunit ribosomal RNA", at positions 354 to 796 of the family's 1533-position model. The record is from RNAcentral.